CUUGCCGACAUGCUGCUCCACAUUUCUUGCUGAGCCUUCUGAGCAGCGUCCCUCAGGGGGCUUCAUCACUGCAGCUUCAAGGGGAAGACAAGACAUGCCCCAUUUUUAUGCCACUAACCGCCGGAUGAUGACAGUAACUUUGCUGAAAUACAUUUCCAGGGACACCUUUGAUUGGCUCUGUUCUUCAUAUUCAAAAACAAUGGCAAGCAGCAGGAAAGGAGGCUCUAUAGGAUGAUUUAUGACCUUCAAAAUGAAUAACCCAGCAAAAAGACCAUAUCACCAGAAACACUGCACUCAGAGAUGCAGCAUUCCAAGCACUACAUUAAAUGCAUGGCUGAAUUCUCAUGAGGUUACAUUAUACAGAAAAUGGUGGAAAACAAUGAAAGACCGAGUGAAAGGCAAAACAUUUGAAUACAUCUGCUUCAGUCUUUUCUUCCUUUGUCACUCUGUCACUAUCAAACCAAAGUAGACUUGUGGAGCAGCAAAAAAAUUGUGUAAGGACUUUAAAAAAAAUGAGUGUGGAGAAUACAUACUAAGUACAUAACUUGGGAACAAAAUGAGAAUAGAAUUCUGAAUGGAAAUAAGUAUCUGAUGAAAAUACCAAUUGCGGCAGUUUUAGACAGUUAGGGGUAAAAUACGUAUUUAUGGAACCGAAGUAAACAGCAGGUUUAGGCCAACAGACUUAUUAUACACAAGAAAAAAGACUUAAUCACAAGUGGAAAAAAUAUGUUUUAUUUGUGUAUUCUGUUGGAGGGUGUUAGCACUACUGUUUUAA
Long non-coding RNA from Carcharodon carcharias (great white shark), 775 nucleotides. RefSeq lists it as uncharacterized. The record is from RefSeq and is a predicted model, not a curated record. The transcript has 3 exons. NCBI's taxonomy places the organism in Eukaryota, Metazoa, Chordata, Chondrichthyes, Lamniformes, Lamnidae.